CCUACGGGAGGCUGCAGUGGGGAAUAUUGCUCAAUGGGGGAAACCCUGAUGCAGCGACGCCGCGUGGGGGAUGAAGGUUUUCGGGUUGUAAACCCCUUUUGUUAGAGAAGAUGAUGACGGUUUCUAACGAGUAAGCACGGGCUAACUCCUUGCCAGCAGCCGCGUUAGUACGAGGGGUGCAAGCGUUACUCGGACUCACUGGGCGUAAAGGGCGCGUAGGCGGGAUGGCACGGCAGAUGGGAAAGCCUAUCGCUUAACCAUAGAUCCGCAUUUGAUACUGGUGUGCUUGAGUAUGGGAGAGGUAGGUGGAAUUCGCGGUGUAGGGGUGGAAUGAGUAGAGAUCGAGAAGAAUACUCAUGGCGAAGGC
This 367-nucleotide ribosomal RNA is filed under the name uncultured bacterium. RNAcentral's name for it is "partial 16S ribosomal RNA". It matches the Rfam family "Bacterial small subunit ribosomal RNA", at positions 338 to 722 of the family's 1533-position model. The record is from RNAcentral.